Molecule: long non-coding RNA, 414 nt
Filed under: Pan troglodytes (chimpanzee)
Lineage: Eukaryota; Metazoa; Chordata; Mammalia; Primates; Hominidae
Description: long non-coding RNA NONPTRT014910
Source: RNAcentral
CAUCUACACCUGUUUCCAAAAGCUCCAUUAUUUUUUCAACUGUGAAAAAGAUUUGGGCAUCUUGGGUCAAGACAGGAGACAUCAUGAUUCCCCCAUUAAGUGAGAGAUGGCAUUUUCAAACACAAAGUCACCACACUGUCUGAUCUUUGCCAAUACAAGGUUGCCAACAAGAUGUCAAGAGAGAAGGAAAAUCUACAAUGAAACUGUGAAGGAAAAAAAAAACCCUAAGGUGUUAUAAAAGUACAUUGUAACUGCAGUGCAACACAACCCAGAGUAGCCUCCAUGGACCGCCCUGCGCUGUGCUGAGAAGAGUGCCACUCAACACCUGGAGGGUUCGCGUCAAUUCUUUCCUUCUAGAAUUCCCCAGGUUUAUCUACACAAGCCUGCACCCCACCCCACCCCCGCUCCUCGGAG